Molecule: RNA transcript, 419 nt
Organism: Rhinopithecus roxellana (golden snub-nosed monkey)
Lineage: Eukaryota; Metazoa; Chordata; Mammalia; Primates; Cercopithecidae
Exons: 2
Source: RefSeq, a predicted model, not a curated record
GGCAGAACCAUCUGCUGAGAGCAGGGUGGGAGGUGGUGGCAGGAGUUGAGGGAGGGGCAGGAGAAUGAGGUUCCCAGCAUCUCCUAACCGUGCAGAGGCGCCUUCGGAGGGAGCCCGUGCAGCUGCCGCUCCUCUUGCUCCGUGGUUGUGAGCUGCCCUUCUGCAUUCCACAGCUCACCCUGGGAGACGCUGGGCUGACCCAAGGCUGGAAUGUUCUGGGGCAGAGCGACGAGUACCAGACCACGGGCUCCGGACUGGAUUGGAGAGCAAGUAAGGGUUCACAAAAGUGUGGACGAAGUAAAGGAUGGCCAAACUCCGACAGUGUCCCAUCCAGACCAAGCCAGACGCUGGCCUGGGCCUGGUUUUGCCCUUCUCCUCCUCUACUACCUGGCACAAGGACUCCACCACCUCCUGCCAGA